Molecule: long non-coding RNA, 464 nt
Organism: Cryptotermes secundus
Lineage: Eukaryota; Metazoa; Arthropoda; Insecta; Blattodea; Kalotermitidae
Exons: 2
Source: RefSeq, a predicted model, not a curated record
AGUAGCUCUUUUGUAGCAUGAAACUUAGCAUGGUGUGUGUGUGUUUUCCUUCAGCGUCUGUUUUAGGAUUCUCGUUAUGUUCAAGGACGGAGCAGGGGCUUUGGCACAGGUCUACAGAGGCAGCAACUGUUACGGCCAUCUUGAAUUCACAAUCAGUAUUCUGCUGUGAAGAAAACGAGAAGUCAAGAAAGCAUAAAUACAACACGAAAUUUGUGAGGACUUCGGCAGUUCCUGGCUUUAUGAGGAUGCAAGCUGAAGUGCGAGUAUGACGUCACCGUAGUGGAAAAAUAUUCUUCAACCUACGAUAUAAGAUAUGUUGUCAACAAAACGCUGCGGUGUUUGUUUCCAGUAACUUCCAAUGAAACACGCUAAAAUUAAUAUAACAUACGUUUACGACAUUGUGAGUGGAAAAAGUAGACGCUACUAAACAAACAUUUUUAAAAUUAAAGAAGACCCUUCCCGUA